GUUGCAUUCAUAUAGUGCUUAAUGUAACAUUUUUAUAAAUAUGUACAAUACACCAGCUUCCAUUCCGUGUUCUGUCGGUUUGAUAUCCAGCAAACCAAAGCUAAUAUUCUGGUCAUGUACGCUCAUACGGACUCCUUAAAACUGAAUGUAUUACACACGUGUACGUUUGUAGUGGUCAGACUGUGCUCUGACAAUAUGGAAGCGAGUUGACAUAACAUUAGCUACAACCGUAGCCUGGCUUAACGUUAGCAAGAAUUUAGCUACGAAAAUAAAAAUACAAUUAACAUCCUUUCUGCACACUUUAGUGUUUCAUUCCGUUUUUCAGACAUUACUAAAAUCGCAAUGCUACCGAUGUAUUGUGCAGAAAUUGGUACAUACCACUUUACGUUUGUAAUAACUGAAUCGUGCACUUGUAAUAGGACGUUAUUACUCUGUCAUAUCACCAUUCUCCAGUUCGCCUGCUAGCUAACAAGCUAACAAUAACAAUUAUCGCCCUUUUCUUUUUUCAACACGUAUGCGUCAUUUCCGGAUGUAAUAAAAUGUAUGACCUUGUUUUUGCAAACGCUUUACAUAAAACCAGUAGAGGCUUUGUUCGUCAAAGUUAAUUACUGCAUAUGUCAAGGGUUUUCUUUUUACUGAAAGUUAUUAAUUUAGAGAUAAAAUAUUAAUAAUAAUAAUAAUAAUAAUAAUAAUAAUGAUUGUGUGUGCAUUGAAGUUACAUAUUCGGUGCAAUUUGCUGAUGUGAUUAUUAUUUAAAUUGUAUAUCAUUAUUUAAAAGUUGACAAACUUUAUUGAAAGUAAUGCAUCCGUAGGAGGCUCUUUACAAAACACAAUGUAAACUAAACUAAGCUCAAUAAAAGACAAUACAUAUCAUACAACAACAAUAAUUAUAAUAAUACAAACACUGAAGGCUCUCCUAUUAUAACUUUGAUUUGCAGUACAGUGCUAAUUAUCUCGUAAUAAAAACAUUAUAACGUUUGAAAAAGGAAAAAAUGUGCACCAGCAUGUUGCAACUACAGCGUCGACAGGUAGACAGGUGGAGCAAGAAAUGCAGUCUCAGGUUUCAUUAUUUACUGUGGCUUUUGUAGAGACGAUCCGGAAAUGCUCAAAACGGACGAUUUCCAUCGUAAUCGCGUUUAAAUUUCAUUUAAUCAGCAAACAGUCAUGGCACCAAAAUAUGAUGGCUUGUCCCACUGUAAACUGGCCCUGGUGUUCGCAGUGCUCAUGGACCUGCUGGGUGUGAUUUCCCUGCUGCUGGGGGUCUUCGCUCCACUGGAGAUCCAAGGUCGAGACUUUGGGGAUCUGCUGGUGUACACAGGGGCCCUGCUGGUGCUAUUUUCCCUUGCAGGCUGGGUCAUGUGGUACAGUGGCAACAUAGAGGGUCUGACCUCCAGAAAGGAGUUGGGGAGUACAGUUGGUGGAGCUAUGGAUCGCCUUGCACGCUCACUGAGCCGCAGGAUACGGAACCCCAGGACUCGCAGCAGCCCAACUUAAGAAGCAGAGCGCAAAGAUACCAACAGACUGACUGACUAAAGACUGUUACAAAGAGGGCUGUCCAUAACCAGGCAGCAGGCCAAGCUGCCUGAAGCAAAGGAGUGCCACUGCCGUUUGUGGCUCUCUACACAAACACACCUUGUUCACAUGACAAAAACUCAUUUGUAUCCUCUCGGCUUGAAGUGUAUAUCGUGGACUACACUAAUGCCUGUAAUGUAAAAGAUUGAUCUUCUGUAUUUAUUUUGUUGACUUUCUUUUUGUAAAACCAACCAGAAUUAAAGUUACUCCAUUAACCAUUGAAA
Long non-coding RNA from Eleginops maclovinus (Patagonian blennie), 1796 nucleotides. RefSeq lists it as uncharacterized. The record is from RefSeq and is a predicted model, not a curated record. The transcript is spliced from 2 exons. Lineage: Eukaryota; Metazoa; Chordata; Actinopteri; Perciformes; Eleginopidae.